RNAcentral lists this ribosomal RNA (857 nucleotides) under uncultured bacterium. RNAcentral's name for it is "bacterial SSU rRNA". It matches the Rfam family "Bacterial small subunit ribosomal RNA", at positions 28 to 896 of the family's 1533-position model. The record is from RNAcentral.
GACGAACGCGGCGGCGUGCUUAACACAUGCAAGUCGAACGAUGAAACCGACUUCGGUUGGUGGAUUAGUGGCGAACGGGUGAGUAACACGUGGGCAACCUGCCCUUAGCUCUGGGAUAACUUCGGGAAACCGAAGCUAAUACCGGAUACGGCUACUUUCGACAUCGAAUGGUAGUGGAAAGUUCCGGCGGCUAAGGAUGGGCCCGCGGCCUAUCAGCUUGUUGGCGGGGUAAUGGCCCACCAAGGCGACGACGGGUAGCCGGCCUGAGAGGGCGACCGGCCACACUGGGACUGAGACACGGCCCAGACUCCUACGGGAGGCAGCAGUGGGGAAUAUUGCGCAAUGGGCGAAAGCCUGACGCAGCGACGCCGCGUGAGGGACGAAGGCCUUCGGGUUGUAAACCUCUUUCAGCAGGGACGAAGCGAAAGUGACGGUACCUGCAGAAGAAGCACCGGCCAACUACGUGCCAGCAGCCGCGGUAAUACGUAGGGUGCAAGCGUUGUCCGGAAUUAUUGGGCGUAAAGAGCUCGUAGGCGGUUUGUCACGUCGGAUGUGAAAACCUGAGGCUCAACCUCAGGCCUGCAUUCGAUACGGGCAGACUAGAGUACUGUAGGGGAGACUGGAAUUCCUGGUGUAGCGGUGAAAUGCGCAGAUAUCAGGAGGAACACCGGUGGCGAAGGCGGGUCUCUGGGCAGUAACUGACGCUGAGGAGCGAAAGCGUGGGGAGCGAACAGGAUUAGAUACCCUGGUAGUCCACGCCGUAAACGGUGGGUGCUAGGUGUAGGCCGUAUUCCACGCGGUCUGUGCCGCAGCUAACGCAUUAAGCACCCCGCCUGGGGAGUACGGCCGCAAGGCUA